GCGCGAAAACUUUACAAUGCGGGACACCGCGAUAAGGGGACCCCGAGUGCCAGCACCUAGUGCUGGCUGUCCAGCUGUUCAAAAAACAGUUGUUAGCAAGGGCCGGGCAAGACCGGUGCCAGCCGCCGCGGUAACACCGGCGGCCCGAGUGGUAGCCGUUAUUAUUGGGUUUAAAGGGUCCGUAGCCGGCCUAUUAAGUCUCUUGGGAAAUCUGGCGACUCAAUCGUCAGGCGUUCAAGAGAUACUGGUAGGCUUGGGACCGGGAGAGGUGGGAGGUACUCCAGGGGUAGGGUGAAAUCUCGUAAUCCUUGGGGGACCACCGAUGGCGAAGGCAUCCCACCAGAACGGGUCCGACGGUGAGGGACGAAAGCUGGGGGCACGAACCGGAUUAGAUACCCGGGUAGUCCCAGCUGUAAACGAUGCUCGCUAGGUGUCAGGUGCGGUGCGACCGCAUCUGGUGCCGUAGAGAAAUCGUGAAACGUGCCGCCUGGGAAGUACGGUCGCAAGGCUAGAAACUUAAAGGAAUUGGCGGGGGAGCACCACAACAGGUGG
This 552-nucleotide ribosomal RNA is filed under the name uncultured Methanosarcinales archaeon. RNAcentral's name for it is "bacterial SSU rRNA". It matches the Rfam family "Archaeal small subunit ribosomal RNA", at positions 339 to 891 of the family's 1478-position model. The record is from RNAcentral. Lineage: Archaea; Methanobacteriati; Methanobacteriota; Methanomicrobia; Methanosarcinales.